Molecule: unclassified non-coding RNA, 300 nt
Filed under: Hevea brasiliensis (rubber tree)
Lineage: Eukaryota; Viridiplantae; Streptophyta; Magnoliopsida; Malpighiales; Euphorbiaceae
Source: RNAcentral
UCUUUACCUGGGGAUCUAAUAGAGGUAAAAACUAAUUGAUGCAGUAUUGGAAGAGGACUAACUUAGGAAUUAUAUUCAUUGUAGAAUUAUAAAGUUCAAGAAUUUAUUAGGUUUGAAAUUUAUUAUUUAUAGAAUUCUAUUGUGUUUUUUAUUAUUUUCCUAUUUUAAGUUUGUUUAGAAUUCUUAAUGUUUGAUUAGCAUUUGCUGUUCCUAUUGAUAUUUUUCCAGCAUUUAAAAUUUCUGAAGGAUUUACAUUUUUUGAUAUAGGCAACCCCUACUUGUUUGGGAUUAAGGCUUAGU